Molecule: long non-coding RNA, 730 nt
Filed under: Anthonomus grandis grandis
Lineage: Eukaryota; Metazoa; Arthropoda; Insecta; Coleoptera; Curculionidae
Description: uncharacterized LOC126735792
Source: RNAcentral
AAAAAUACGAAUUAAAACAAUUCGAACAAUAUACUCUGCCGAAGUAAGAAAAAUUAACUCAUCUAUGAAGAGUGGAGCAUCAACUGACGACCUAUAUACACCUACUUGUGGAUGGUUCAAAAUUGCUGAUGGUUUUCUAUGAAAUACAGUUGUUUUACGUGAAACGCAUGAUAAUUUGGCAAGCCAAGUAUCAUCCAAUGAUGGUGUUUCAGAAGAUUUACCUAGUACGUCGGAACAUUCACCAGCUAGGACAACCCAAGCCAAUUCUGAAAUAAUUGAAGUUAUCCCGAGGGUUACUCAAACACCUAAGCGUAAAAAAAUAAUUCAGAAAAAUGAUCCUGCUACUACAGCUGUAGAAAAAUUAGAAAAUAUAUGCAAAACUAGUGCAGACGCAUUACAGGAGGAUGAAUUUGAAAUUUAUGGAAGAUACAUAGCCUCGCAGCUAAGAUCGAUAGACCUAGAAAGAGCUAUUGAUGUUCAAAAUCAGAUUAACAACAUUUUAUCAAAGUCAAGAAUAGAAGACAUCAAAUGCAAAAAGAGUCUCCACAACACUUUUUCAAUUCCUCAUCCGGAAGAGAGUUUAGUAGAUAUAAAUUCACCACCACCAAGUAACCAGACUAAAGUUGAGGUAUAUUCAGAAGAGGAUAGUGAUAUAACGUUUAUUGAAAAACCUGGGCAUUCUAGUGACAUUUUGUCACAAGCUGUGAAUACUAUUUUCCGAUAUACUGAU